UGUUAAAAAUUUCAUUUCUUUGUACUGCUAAAACUGGCAUGGUUGACAAAAUAAUUAGACAAUCACAUAUGACAUGCCACGUGUACCUUAUAUUAACGUACAUAGAUCAGUUUUUAAUAGUAAAAAUGGAUGAAAUUUUUAACA
Molecule: non-coding RNA, 144 nt
Organism: Gossypium hirsutum (cotton)
Lineage: Eukaryota; Viridiplantae; Streptophyta; Magnoliopsida; Malvales; Malvaceae
Source: Rfam